RNAcentral lists this transfer RNA (88 nucleotides) under Hadesarchaea archaeon YNP_N21. RNAcentral describes it as "tRNA-Leu". It matches the Rfam family "tRNA". Rfam says of the family: Transfer RNA (tRNA) molecules are approximately 80 nucleotides in length. Their secondary structure includes four short double-helical elements and three loops (D, anti-codon, and T loops). The record is from RNAcentral. Lineage: Archaea; Methanobacteriati; Hadarchaeota (SeqCode); Hadarchaeia (SeqCode).
GCGGGGGUGCCUGAGGGGACUAAAGGGCCGGACUUAAGAUCCGGUAGCCGCAGGGCUUUCAGGGGUUCGAAUCCCCUCCCCCGCACCA